This 253-nucleotide ribosomal RNA is filed under the name uncultured bacterium. Its description in RNAcentral is "partial 16S ribosomal RNA". It matches the Rfam family "Bacterial small subunit ribosomal RNA", at positions 524 to 776 of the family's 1533-position model. The record is from RNAcentral.
UACGUAGGGUGCGAGCGUUUGUCCGGAAUUAUUGGGCGUAAAGAGCUCGUAGGCGGCUUGUCACGUCGGGUGUGAAAGCCCGGGGCUUAACCCCGGGUCUGCAUUCGAUACGGGCAGGCUAGAGUGUGGUAGGGGAGAUCGAAUUCCUGGUGUAGCGGUGAAAUGCGCAGAUAUCAGGAGGAACACCGGUGGCGAAGGCGGAUCUCUGGGCCAUUACUGACGCUGAGGAGCGAAAGCGUGGGGAGCGAACAGG